This 401-nucleotide unclassified non-coding RNA is filed under the name soil metagenome. RNAcentral describes it as "partial contains 5.8S ribosomal RNA, internal transcribed spacer 2, and large subunit ribosomal RNA". The stretch from base 1 to 122 matches the Rfam family "5.8S ribosomal RNA", at positions 35 to 154 of the family's 154-position model. The record is from RNAcentral.
GAUGAAGAACGUAGCGAAAUGCGAUACUUGGUGUGAAUUGCAGAAUCCCGUGAACCAUCGAGUCUUUGAACGCAAGUUGCGCCCGAAGCCAUUAGGCCGAGGGCACGCCUGCCUGGGUGUCACACAUCGUUACCCUCGCGCCAACGUCCAGUGUUGGGCACGGCGCAGGGCGUAUGCUGACCUCCCGCGAGCGGGGUCUCGUGGUUGGUUGAAAAUCGAGUUCGCGGUCGAGUGUGCCGUGAUGAAAUGGUGGAUGGGCGACGCCCGAGGCCAAUCCAAUCGCGCGCGACUCUGUCCGGCUUGGACUCCUGGACCCCUUGGGCGUCUCCGGACGCUCCCCAGCGAGACCUCAGGUCAGGCGGGGCUACCCGCUGAGUUUAAGCAUAUCAAUAAGCGGAGGA